This 273-nucleotide ribosomal RNA is filed under the name uncultured Eubacteriales bacterium. RNAcentral describes it as "uncultured Clostridiales bacterium partial 16S ribosomal RNA". It matches the Rfam family "Bacterial small subunit ribosomal RNA", at positions 72 to 339 of the family's 1533-position model. The record is from RNAcentral. Lineage: Bacteria; Bacillati; Bacillota; Clostridia; Eubacteriales.
AUUCUUCGGAUGAAGACUUUUGUGACUGAGCGGCGGACGGGUGAGUAACGCGUGGGUAACCUGCCUCAUACAGGGGGAUAACAGUUAGAAAUGACUGCUAAUACCGCAUAUGCCAUAAGUAUCGCAUGAUGCAGUGUGAAAAACUCCGGUGGUAUAAGAUGGACCCGCGUUGGAUUAGCUAGUUGGUGAGGUAACGGCCCACCAAGGCGACGAUCCAUAGCCGACCUGAGAGGGUGACCGGCCACAUUGGAACUGAGACACGGUCCAAACUCC